This 22-nucleotide ribosomal RNA is filed under the name Yersinia pestis PY-102. RNAcentral describes it as "partial 23S ribosomal RNA". The record is from RNAcentral. Lineage: Bacteria; Pseudomonadati; Pseudomonadota; Gammaproteobacteria; Enterobacterales; Yersiniaceae.
AUCGGCUCUUUAACAUUGAGGU